Molecule: ribosomal RNA, 497 nt
Filed under: uncultured bacterium
Lineage: Bacteria
Description: partial 16S ribosomal RNA
Rfam family: Bacterial small subunit ribosomal RNA
Source: RNAcentral
GAUGAACGCUGGCGGCGUGCCUAAUACAUGCCAGUCGAGCGAACAGACGAGGAGCUUGCUCCUCUGACGUUAGCGGCGGACGGGUGAGUAACACGUGGAUAACCUACCUAUAAGACUGGGAUAACUUCGGGAAACCGGAGCUAAUACCGGAUAAUAUAUUGAACCGCAUGGUUCAAUAGUGAAAGACGGUUUUGCUGUCACUUAUAGAUGGAUCCGCGCCGCAUUAGCUAGUUGGUAAGGUAACGGCUUACCAAGGCAACGAUGCGUAGCCGACCUGAGAGGGUGCUCGGCCACACUGGAACUGAGACACGGUCCAGACUCCUACGGGAGGCAGCAGUAGGGAAUCUUCCGCAAUGGGCGAAAGCCUGACGGAGCAACGCCGCGUGAGUGAUGAAGGUCUUCGGAUCGUAAAACUCUGUUAUUAGGGAAGAACAAAUGUGUAAGUAACUAUGCACGUCUUGACGGUACCUAAUCAGAAAGCCACGGCUAACUACGUG